UUGCUUCUCUAAAUUCUUUGUUUGAAUGAAAACAGGCUACAGUUGCUAACUUUAUCUCAUUUUUUUUGGACGGGAAUGUUAUCUUGUUAUAUGUUCGAUUUCUGCGUUUUUCAUCUCAAAAUAUAAUCAUUUACAUUACUAUUAUCAUUUUUACAUGUAGUCGCACAUGUUCAAUAUACAUCUUUAGUUUGCUUUCAAAGGAGAAAAAUAGAUAUUCUGGACCGCUCCUGGACAACCGCGCCUUAGAGGCUCGCGAGCUGGACCGAGGCUCGAGUCGAGGUGCCUUUGUCGGCUCAUCGCAGCUUCCGAGCUACUCAGAAGCUCGGUUCACCAAAGUCCAGCACGGCUCGGCUCAUGUCCAGCCCUGCCAAAGGAUAUGACCGUCAGUAAACGAAAUUUGCAUCCAGCUGAUGCUGCAUUCGUGACCUUGCAAUAAAGAGAAGUUCUCCAUUUGGGAAGACAUUUAAGGUGGGCUGAUAAUUGUCAAGCAAACUUUGCAGUGAAGGAGGAGGUGCUCGGCCGUCUCGAUCGCCGAAGAAACAUAUAGUGCAGGACGCUGACUUACACGUCUGGAACAAUCCAAUCGUGGUCGAGGAGCCAUAUGAUGAAGGGGACAUGCGAGGAUUGCCAAAGAAGUUUUUGCCCCGGCGCACACAGCUUGCUGUGAGGGGAGUCGUUGAGGAGAGCUACCGUUCAUCGAAGAAUGGAGAGCUAGGUACACCUCAUCUAGAUAAUCAGGAGGUGCGCCUCAUGUACUUCGUCUCCAUAGCUCAGAAGGGAAACUGCAGCUUCUUUCCAGCUAGUGACUACUUUCUGUGUUUCUAAAUGUAAGUCUUUUAAGAAAUUAUGUCACGGACUACAUUCAAAUGUAUUUAGACAUAGUUUAGUGUGUAGAUUCAUUUAUUUUGCUU
RNAcentral lists this long non-coding RNA (911 nucleotides) under Hordeum vulgare. RNAcentral describes it as "long non-coding RNA (HVUL_LNC014377)". The record is from RNAcentral. Lineage: Eukaryota; Viridiplantae; Streptophyta; Magnoliopsida; Poales; Poaceae.